CGGGGGGGUAAGCGUUGUUCGGAAUUACUGGGCGUAAAGGGCUCAUAGGCGGCCAACUAAGUCAGACGUGAAAUCCCUCAGCUUAACUGGGGAACUGCGUCUGAUACUGGAUGGCUUGGAUCCGGGAGAGGGAUGCGGAAUUCCAGGUGUAGCGGUGAAAUGCGUAGAUAUCUGGAGGAACACCGGUGGCGAAGGCGGCAUCCUGGACCGGUAUCGACGCUGAGGAGCGAAAGCCAGGGGGGCAAACGGGAUUAGAUACCCCGGUAGUCCUGGCCCUAAACGAUGAAUGCUUGGUGUAGCGGGUAUCGAUCCCUGCUGUGCCGAAGCUAACGCAUUUAGCAUUCCGCCUGGGGAGUACGGUCGUAAGGCUG
RNAcentral lists this ribosomal RNA (371 nucleotides) under uncultured organism. RNAcentral describes it as "bacterial SSU rRNA". It matches the Rfam family "Bacterial small subunit ribosomal RNA", at positions 527 to 896 of the family's 1533-position model. The record is from RNAcentral.